GCAUAUCACAUUGACAAAAUGUUAUUUCCAACAGCGGUGGUAAAGUUAGCAGCAACAGAGACUGAGCACAUCAAACAUCUUCCAACCCAAUGGAGCAGGGAGCACCAGCUUCCCGGGAUCCCGGGCGAGAUGCUGACUUCAUGCCACGGAGUCAUUCUGUUCCUGUGUGCAGGCACAGGAGUCCCCGCUGUAGGAUGGCAGCUGAAUGGCUGGAUGGGAUCUGAAGUCUCCCUUUCCCAGGAUGGCAGCUGAAUGGCUGGAUGGGAUCCCGUCUGGCGGUUACCAAGCAUGGUCCCUGCCUCCUGCUUCUCCAUCAGGAACACGGUGGUGGUCUUCCCAGUGGGGCCCGCAGGAGUGUGCACGGAUGUCCACAGCUGCUGUAAUGUUUGCCUCUGAAGCCAGAGUACGCAUCGUGGGGUGCUAUCGCUGUGCGCCUCUGCAGAGCCCAACAGUUCAGACUUCAAAACUUCAGGGCCGUGGCCUGGGAUUCAGGCGGAAGAGACAGAGUAUUUGAUAAUUCAUCCAGUUACACUGCCCUUCUGUAGCGAGCUGCCGAACUGGACCCUGGAGGACAUUUGCACAGAUGCUCAUGUAGAUACCUGAUUAGAUGUGCUUUCACCACAAGGAAAUGCAGCUAAGAUCCUCAUCGUGGAAAUGCAGUUUCCUUUUAUUUGAGACUGCCUGCUGAAGGUUGGAUGGGACCAGGGCUGACGGAAGACAAAAGGCAUCUUUGGUAUCAUUUGAGGGUUAAUACAAAUCACUUCCUUCUUUACAAAAAAGGGUAAUUACAAGCACUGGUAGAUUAACUGUAUUAGACCCUGAUUGUAUGCAGGGGCCAUUUAUUACAGGCAACGUUUAUUCCACACUUCCUGGUGCCUCUUCGGCAUCCCACACUGGUGAUUUCACAGUGGAAGCUUCCAUUCUGGGUUUCUGUUGUGGGAGGUGUGUGGCCUCUGGCACCGGUACAGCCCCUGGGCAUGUCUAGAUCUGCCAGGAGUGGUGGUAGAAAGGUGCCAGCCGGGGCUUCAGGGCCCAGACGCUUCUCCUCCCAUCUGGAUGGACACUCGGGGUUCCAGUUACACACGGGCAGAAUCAGCACCUUGGGAAUUUGAGCCAUCUGCAAGCAGAUCCCUUUACAUUCAAGGGAAGGCUUGUGUCUGACAAAUGAAAAUGGGACACUUUCCAGCUUUCCACGUUGUAAGCUAAACCACUUGCCCCUGCAUCAGCAUGUCUGGAAGUGGGCUCCUCAGAUGCCGGAGAUCUGCAGACGUGCUCUUGGGGUCUGGUUCUCUGUACUCCAUGUUACCUGGGCUGCCUUGUGAAUGAGCCCUAUCUGUGGUUUCACAUGUGGGUGUAUGCAGAGCUCUUCCCAAGGAGUGGGCGGGCACUUCUUCAUAUGUGGGUCUCCAGCUGUCCCUCUGGUCUGCUGCUCCAGACUUCAGGCUGGAAUCACACAAAUGCCACUCCGUUUCACUAAACCCCACUCUGGUCUCAGGCCUUGCAGUCAGCCGCUCUGCGCUGGCCUCUAGCUCUCUCUAAUUUGGAAUGCUGUCACUGGCCCCAGAUGCUGCUCCUCUCAUGGCUCGCUGGCUCACCUGUUCCACAGCAGCUGCCUGUGGACUCCUCCAGGUGCAGGGGACAGGGCCAGUAUUGCAUAAAAGUUUAAAAAGUCACCACAGCAGAGGGACAUCAUGUCUGGUUGCCAAACUUGUUUUUUUCUGACUUUUCAUUGUAAAACAAAACACAGAUAUGGAAAACCACACAAAACACGCACACAGCUGAAAUGGGUUAUGAUAAAGCAGCCCUCCCCCACCUCCCUGCAACUACCACCAAGUUGAGGAAUGGACCUUUGCAGACUCUCCAGAAACCACAUGUUCCUCAUCCCUGUCAGUCUCGCCAGCCCCUGCCUCAAAUUAACAUCACCACGAAUUCAACAUCUUGGUCCUUGCCCUUCUUGUGGUCUGUCAGUCACGUGCAUGCCUAGAAUCUAGAGUUUCCUCUUGCCCAUUUUCUUUUUAAUCUGAGGUCUUUAAAUCCCUUUCAUUCUACAAGUUCUCCUUCUACUCUUUUCUUUCCCAUACAACUUACCUGUUGUAGAAUUCACGGUUUUUGCCCAUAGAAUGUCCCAGUCUGGCUUUUGCCAAGUGCAAAGUUAUGGGGCAAUACAACACCAUCUUCUGUGCUCUCAACCUGCACAUUGGUUCCUGCAUCCAGAGCCCGAUCCUAAGGAUCUCUUUCUUAAGAUUACAGUCGGCAUUUUGUUUCUUUAUUGGGAGGCAUAUAACACUUGAUUGCUUCUCUCUGCGAUGCCAGCUGCUGUGGAUGCUGCUAGAGUCAUGAAUCCAUCAUGGGUUACACAAUGGUUAGCCUGAUGGCACCAUGGUUUCUGUUCUUGAACAGCAAUGCUGUGAUAAAGACAUGCCUCCCCUUAUCUAUGACUUGCUUCCCCUGAGGAACAGCUCACAGACAGACGAGGCUAAAUGCUUGAUUCUCUUCAUCUGUUUUCAAGAUAAUGAACUGGGACACUGUCGUUCCAUGAAUAUAAUAUUCUCUGAAUUUUCUUAUUAAUUUGUGGAUUAGACUUAUUUAAUAAGUUUCAAUCAGUUGAAAUUAACAUCCUUCCUGAAACUGAGAUUGUCCCAUCUCCCCUAAUAGGAGCCUUUUCAAGUUGGACUUGAGCCCUGGUAACACAGCCAUGGCCACCUUGACCUCUCCGCCCUCUGGUGCUGCCCAGGCCCAGAUCAUAUUCCACUCCCCCAGUACCUGGGAGCAGUCAUUUCCCCGAGAAACCCCACUUAUCCCGUGGCAAAGGUGUUUCCCAACUGUCCCAGGAGCACUGCGAGUGCUCACUAUAGAUGGCAGAGCUGGGAAAGGCCUUAGGAGUUUGAGCCAUUUCUUCCAAUUCAAAUUCAGGAUGAAAGAGUUUGAUUUAAUCUCCUCUUAUUUAACAUCUGUGUCUCCUUUGUUCAACACCAAAAGUUCUAGCAGCACUCAAGGAUGAUAGAAUCAGGAUAUCUCACAGAACUGCGCAUUUCUUCUAUUGCACAUUAUACACACAAUUGUUUCAGAAUAAAAAUAUUAUAUGUGUGUAUAUAUUAUAUAUCAGUAAUAAUGUUAUCACCACUGAUAUCAUGGCUAAAAAUAAUAUUUUUCUGUGUGUGUUUUCUGUUUCCACUUCCAUUUUAAAAUAGAAGUAUUGUGUCUACAUGGUCAAUUCAUAUAGCCAUUAUAUACAAUUUUUUCUCCCUUUUAGCCCUCAUUUUCCUAGUUCUACAGGUAACUAUAUAAAUGCUUAUCACUAGUCUUUAAUGAAAAUCUUUGUUGCCAUUUUUGGUUGAAGUUCAUUCUCUAGGAUGAGCUCUCUCUUAGCAUAGGCGCAUGGGAACAAUAUUUCUGAAUUCUUGAAUGCUGAUAACACUUCCUCUCUUUGAUACUUGAAAGUCAGUUUUGCUGGGUAUAAGAUUCUUGGUUCACAUUUUUUCCUUAAUAAAACUUAAUAGAUAUAAGAUUUUAGCUUUUUUCAGGCAUAAAGCUUUGCUGUAAAAGCAUGAUGAUACUCUAUUUUUGUAUUCCUUACAAUAUCUUGCUUUUCAACCUAGAUGCCAAAAAUGUUUUUUUUUAAUUUUUCUGUAAAAGUUUAGUAUUUUAAUGCGUAUAUCUUGGUGUUGGUUAUUCUGGAUCUAUAUUCUCAGGUAGCUGGCAUGUACUUUCAAUAUGGCCAUUUUAAAUCUCUCUUAAAGUAAGGAAAGUUGUUGUGAAAGACAGUUUUUAUACUGACUUUGUUUCCUGCUUUGAUUUUCUCCUGCAGGGUCCAUUUGUACAUGCCACCUUCUGUGCCUGCCUUUCAUAUUUGUCCUUUUGUAUUUCUUGAGUCCCCUUCUUUCUUACUUUCUUCCUUUUUUAUUUUAAAAAGCCUUUCUUUGUUACCUUCUAUUUUUCUUAAGGUAUUGUCUCUUGUGUUUCCUCCAUUCAUGUCUCUGAUAGCUUAGUUUUCAUUUCUGAAGUGAUUUUUAGCAUUUUUUAUUCUUCCUGUUUUAUCGUCUCAUUUCUGAAUUCUUUUAAAUGAUGAUUUUUGUUUUUAUUGCAUGUUUUAUAGAAUCUGUAAUCUCAUUUUGAACUACUACUAAGCUGUUUCCACCCAUUGUCUGAGCUGCAUCUCUGCCAUGCUUUAAUUGUCCAUAUAGAUAUUAUUCUGUGCCAUAUUAUCCAUUUUCUUAUAAAUACUGUUAGUGAAAAUUUGUCAUGUCUCAUUUUUUAAAUCAAUAUUUUGAACUAUUAAAAGCACGUAGCAUAAAAUUUACCAUUGUAACCAUUUUUUUUUUUUUUUUGAGAUGGAGUCUCGCUCUGUUGCCCAGGCUAGAGUGCAGUGGUGCGAUCUCAGGUCACUGCAAGCUCCGCCUCCUGGGUUCACGCCA
This 4415-nucleotide long non-coding RNA is filed under the name Homo sapiens (human). RNAcentral's name for it is "HSALNT0170299". Lineage: Eukaryota; Metazoa; Chordata; Mammalia; Primates; Hominidae. The record is from RNAcentral.